This is a non-coding RNA of Taeniopygia guttata (zebra finch), 949 nucleotides long. The record is from RefSeq and is a predicted model, not a curated record. Lineage: Eukaryota; Metazoa; Chordata; Aves; Passeriformes; Estrildidae.
GGUGGAUGCGGGAGCGCGGCCCGGGGCGCGGAGCGCUCCAGAGCCCGAACGGGAGCGCGGGGCGCGCACAUCCUGCGCUCCGCCGGCAGCGCCGCGGCGGGGGCGGCGCAUCCGCGGGCCGGGCGCGGCUCGGCAGCAGCGCCUCCGUGCCCGGCGGCGGCGGAGCCGGCCCGGGACACUGCGCUAGGGCUGUGCUUCCCGUGCUGCUGCUCUUAAGGUUGGGCUCAGGAUGCUGUUGCUGGAAACUGCAGAGCUUUGUCUGUUGAAGUGAGAUACCUGGAGUCAGCUGGAGGAUACCUCCUUUCUGCACAAAAAAUAAGAAACCCCUCUGUCUGAAUGUCACUGCUGAAUAGGCUCACUGGAUUAUGGUUCGCCUUGAUAUCUUCUUCUUACAGAAUGAAAGGUUUGGAUGUUUUUGGCAGAAUCUUUGUAACCAGUGAUUUUGUAAAGGAUUUUGCCUUGUUUUAGAACUGGAGGAAUGUGUGGAUUUCUGAAUGUACUUGAACUGAGUGGCACCAGAAGAUGAGAAUUAACAAAUUUGAGGUUUAAAAGGACUAUAUGCAUGGAUGGUGGGUGGGUAAUCUUUGGCUUCAAUUUAAGCCAUGCAUUUAAUUUCUGCAUUUGUAGGCAGGGAACUUCUCAAAUCCUAUCUGACUCAUACAGUGCUGUAUAUAUACAUUAAUAUGCAAUGAGCUGCACAAUGUGUAGUUUUUGGAAACUGUUCAGCUGUAAGAACAAGGCCACAUCUGAGCUGAGACAGACCUCUCUUAAGACAGGCUUCUGUUUCAGCCUGUUUCAGCAAGUUGAAGAAGACUUGUGCAUAGUUGUUGAGCAUACCUUAUUGCUUGUAAAGAUGUUGCUUCUGGUAUACUUUUCUCAUUUGAAAGGAAUACUGCUUUUAGACUGUAAAUUUUGAGGGUGUAGUGAAUCUCAAAUAGAAUCACGGAAA